RNAcentral lists this unclassified non-coding RNA (228 nucleotides) under Rhus glabra (smooth sumac). RNAcentral describes it as "partial external transcribed spacer". Lineage: Eukaryota; Viridiplantae; Streptophyta; Magnoliopsida; Sapindales; Anacardiaceae. The record is from RNAcentral.
GUUGCCCCUUUCCGCCCGAUGCCCUUUUUGGGUGUGGGGUGGACGCCAGGCACGCUACGUGUUCCUCGCAUGCCUUGCCUUGUUGCGGGGCUGCUGAGGCCCAUGGAGCUGUUGCCCGUGCUCUCGGAUGCGGAAUGUCAUGCAUGGGUGCGGGGUCUCGGCCUUUGCUUGCCCAAGCUAUGCAUUUGUCUCUUGACACGAACGACUGCCGCGGGCGGCUUGAACCCG